CAGUAGCCACGGGAAAACGAAGGGUGCAAGCGUUACUCGGAAUUACUGGGCGUAAAGCGUGCGCAGGCGGUUAUAUAAGACAGAUGUGAAAUCCCCGGGCUCAACCUGGGACCUGCAUUUGUGACUGUAUAGCUAGAGUACGGUAGAGGGGGAUGGAAUUCCACGUGUAGCAGUGAAAUGCGUAGAUAUGUGGAGGAAUACCGAUGGCGAAGGCAGCCCCCUGGGAUAACACUGACGCUCAUGCACGGAAGCGUGGGGAGCAAACAGGAUUAGAUACCCGCGUAGUCCCUGUCUCUUAUAC
Molecule: ribosomal RNA, 301 nt
Filed under: uncultured bacterium
Lineage: Bacteria
Description: partial 16S ribosomal RNA
Rfam family: Bacterial small subunit ribosomal RNA
Source: RNAcentral